GGGGGGAGGCCGGAUCCUGGGCUGUCUCCCCAGCGCCCUGUGCUCCGGGGCCUGCGCUGUUGGAUUCGCGCUCCCAGCCGCGCAGCCCCCU
RNAcentral lists this microRNA precursor (91 nucleotides) under Canis lupus familiaris (dog). Its description in RNAcentral is "mir-8799 microRNA precursor family". It matches the Rfam family "mir-8799 microRNA precursor family". Lineage: Eukaryota; Metazoa; Chordata; Mammalia; Carnivora; Canidae. The record is from Rfam by way of RNAcentral.